Molecule: ribosomal RNA, 753 nt
Filed under: Triticum aestivum (bread wheat)
Lineage: Eukaryota; Viridiplantae; Streptophyta; Magnoliopsida; Poales; Poaceae
Description: partial small subunit ribosomal RNA
Source: RNAcentral
AGGUUACCAAGGAACCAUGCAUAGCACUGAAUAGGGAACCGCCGAAUACACCAGCUACACCUAACAUGUGGAAUGGAUGCAUAAGGAUGUUGUGCUCUGCCUGGAAUACAAUCAUAAAGUUGAAAGUACCAGAGAUUCCUAAAGGCAUACCAUCAGAAAAGCUUCCUUGACCAAUAGGGUAAAUCAAGAAAACAGCAGUAGCAGCUGCAACAGGAGCUGAAUAUGCAACAGCAAUCCAAGGACGCAUACCCAGACGGAAACUAAGUUCCCACUCACGACCCAUAUAACAAGCUACACCAAGUAAGAAGUGUAGAACAAUUAGCUCAUAAGGACCACCAUUGUAUAACCACUCAUCAACAGAUGCGGCUUCCCAAAUUGGGUAAAAGUGCAAUCCGAUCGCCGCAGAAGUAGGGAUAAUAGCACCAGAGAUAAUAUUGUUUCCAUAAAGUAAAGAACCAGAAACAGGCUCACGAAUACCAUCAAUAUCUACUGGAGGGGCAGCGAUGAAGGCGAUAAUAAAUACAGAAGUUGCGGUCAAUAAGGUAGGGAUCAUCAAAACACCGAACCAUCCGAUGUAAAGACGAUUUUCAGUGCUAGUUAUCCAGUUGCAGAAGCGACCCCACAGGCUUGUACUUUCGCGUCUCUCUAAAAUUGCAGUCAUGGUAAGAUCUUGGUUUAUUCAAAUUGCAAGGACUCCCAAGCACACGUAUUAACUAGAAUAUAGAUAAUAGAAGGCUUGUUAUUUAACAGUAU